AGAGCGAACGCUGGCGGCAGGCUUAACACAUGCAAGUCGAACGGAUCCUUCGGGAUUAGUGGCGGACGGGUGAGUAACACGUGGGAACGUGCCUUUAGGUUCGGAACAACACAGGGAGACUUGUGCUAAUACCGGAUGUGCCCUUCGGGGGAAAGAUUUAUCGCCUUUAGAGCGGCCCGCGUCUGAUUAGCUUGUUGGUGAGGUAAAGGCUCACCAAGGCUACGAUCAGUAGCUGGUCUGAGAGGAUGGCCAGCCACAUUGGGACUGAGACACGGCCCAAACUCCUACGGGAGGCAGCAGUGGGGAAUCUUGCGCAAUGGGGGAAACCCUGACGCAGCCAUGCCGCGUGGAUGAUGAAGGUCUUAGGAUUGUAAAAUCCUUUCAGCGGGGACGAUAAUGACGGUACCCGCAGAAGAAGCCCCGGCUAACUUCGUGCCAGCAGCCGC
RNAcentral lists this ribosomal RNA (446 nucleotides) under uncultured bacterium. RNAcentral's name for it is "SSU rRNA". It matches the Rfam family "Bacterial small subunit ribosomal RNA", at positions 26 to 518 of the family's 1533-position model. The record is from RNAcentral.